AGCAUCACCGUUUUAUUAUGCAUAAAAAGAAACAGAAGAAACAAUUGAAGUCCAUUUGCCCUUUUCUGCAAAGAUUAAAACAAAUCCUUAACCCCAAUGUUCCCUCAUUUGGGGUUUCAGCCGCACCUAUGCUAGAAGAUCAGAGGAAGUUUCUCCCUCCAAAGGCCAACUUCGACGACAGAGGAAGAGUUGCCGAUGAUGGAGGAGCGAGUCAACUCAGGUAUGGAGACGUGAGUGAAGCGGCUACAUGGAGCGAACGUGAAGGCGCGAAGUACGGGCGUGGCGUGGAGGUGAAGGUCCCCUGCGGUGCCAACUGCUUUGGUUAGGGUAUCCCCCUUUCUGAAACCAGAGUUUGGGUUGUUGGGCUUGUAAUCGGGCCUUUUAAUUUUAGUGAUUUGGGUCUGUAUCUUGGGCCAUGCAAAAUUUGGGCUCUACAUUGUUCAUGUAGUUAAAUAAUCUUGUACUUCGUUUAUUAGUUAAAUAAUCGGUACAUCUAAACACAA
This is a long non-coding RNA of Gossypium arboreum, 503 nucleotides long. RefSeq lists it as uncharacterized. The transcript has 2 exons. The record is from RefSeq and is a predicted model, not a curated record. NCBI's taxonomy places the organism in Eukaryota, Viridiplantae, Streptophyta, Magnoliopsida, Malvales, Malvaceae.